RNAcentral lists this long non-coding RNA (403 nucleotides) under Homo sapiens (human). RNAcentral describes it as "HSALNT0323898". The record is from RNAcentral. Lineage: Eukaryota; Metazoa; Chordata; Mammalia; Primates; Hominidae.
AGCUGCUUCCUCGGAAGAGCACCCUAAGGCUGGGUGGCCACUAUCCUUUGCCUUGGCAGAGCCAGCCAGAAGGCCUAGGCACAACCCGCUGUGUUUGCUGACAGCCAACCUACCCUGGAGUUCCGGAGCGGCUUCCUAGGAAGUCUGGGGAGCGGUAGAAAAAUGGCUCUGCUGAGAUGAGCUCUUAAUUAAUGCACUGAGAGCCUGCAAGUCCCACCUCUCAACAGGAAUGAUUGACGUCCAAGGAUACAUAAAUUACACUAACUGAGCUCUGCCUCUAUAUAAGCUUUCCACAUCCAACUCAUCAGAGAAGCUAGGCUUGUACCAUAACCAAUACCCCUGCUUGGCAACUCUAAUGAGCAAACUGCCGCAAAAUUGAGAGAGAACACACCUUUUUGGUAAG